This is a small nuclear RNA of Erinaceus europaeus (western European hedgehog), 62 nucleotides long. Its record names the gene U7. It matches the Rfam family "U7 small nuclear RNA". Rfam says of the family: Animal histone pre-mRNAs are spliced by a different mechanism than nuclear pre-mRNAs and self-splicing introns. This processing involves the U7 snRNP, which contains only one RNA species: U7. Lineage: Eukaryota; Metazoa; Chordata; Mammalia; Eulipotyphla; Erinaceidae. The record is from Ensembl.
AACUGCUACAGCUCUUUUCAAAUUGGUCCAGCAGGACUUCCGGUCUCUACUGGAAGGCCCCA